ACAGAGGGGGCAAGCGUUGCUCGGAAUCACUGGGCGUAAAGGGCGCGUAGGCGGGACGCCAAGUCGGUCGUGAAAUCUCCGGGCUCAACCCGGAGGAGUCGGCCGAAACUGGUGUUCUUGAGGGAGGCAGAGGAGUCUGGAAUUCCCGGUGUAGCGGUGAAAUGUGUAGAGAUCGGGAGGAACACCGGUGGCGAAGGCGGGACUCUGGGCCUACCCUGACGCUGAGGCGCGAAGGCGUGGGGAGCAAACGGGA
RNAcentral lists this ribosomal RNA (253 nucleotides) under uncultured prokaryote. Its description in RNAcentral is "partial 16S ribosomal RNA". It matches the Rfam family "Bacterial small subunit ribosomal RNA", at positions 525 to 777 of the family's 1533-position model. The record is from RNAcentral.